UCACCCAGCAGCCCCCAGCCCUGUCUACGUGUUGGACUUCCUCCCUCUCCAUCUUUUCUUAUCUCUAUCUCCUCUUUUAUCUCUCUAGAACCUGGUUGAAGUCUUGUGAGAGAGAGAGCUUGUGGAUUGGGAAUUUUUGUUGAUGGAGCUAAGAAGAGAAACUGUGGAGCUAAUAGGAAGCUUGUUGAGCUGAAGAAACCCUUGGGGAAACUCCAAAUCUAGGAUUGAGGGGGAAGCUGCAGAGUAGAAAUUUCGGGCUAUUGGAGCUAAGAAUAACCUGGUAUAAUACCUAAUAAAGGCUGGUUGAUCUUGGUCUGGUAGAGGGGCCGAGUAGAAGUUUCAGCUGAGGAAACUUGGAAAUUGGAGAAAUUAAGAAGUGAUUGUAGAAGUGUGAAGGGGCUGCCUUGUAGAUCUGGGCACCCAAAUUGGAAGAGACCUGGUGAAUCUCUUUGAUAUUUUGAAUUGAAAGGGGGGACUUGGUGGAGCUCCGAAUCUAGAUAAAGAUGAUAUUUCUUCCCUGGUUUGAGUCCUGUGAAUUGCUCUAAAGAAUGUAAGCAAUAAUUAUUUUAUGUGUAGGAGCUAGGAGAAAACGUUAGUGAGGAAGUAAGUGUGCAGAAUUUCAGCAUGGUGCAGAUUUUGAGGUUGAGCUGAAAUUGCUUCCUUAUUAGAGCUUCUUUGGUGUCCAAACUAAAAGAGGACCAAGUGGAACUUCAAGCUCAGGUUAGACGUGCUCGGAAGUUCGAAUUGACAUUCCGACGAUCUUACGAUGCGCUAUUUAAGAAACGCUUCGUUCUAGCUCUAUUUGCAUUGAGUCGCGAGAGCUAAUUGUUGAUGCAUUUCGAGACGUUGGUUCUAAUCUGUUGGCAACCCUACAGCUUGGUGGCCGUCGCUCCCCCCAGGCAGUGCACUCCGGAGUUGUCACACGAUGGGCUAACGUACUUGCCCAAGGACUAACGUACUUGUCCGGCAGACGGUCCCUCUGGUGGUUCGAGUCCCCCGAUUUAGAGGGAUUUUGGGUUGUGAGCUUGGAGUUAACAAGUGUUAACCAGUUUGAUUGGACCUAGCGGGUGAGUCGGCGAGGUCGGCAGCCGAACCAACUGGAAACUUUCGGUAGUUCUCACCCCACUAACCAUACAGGUUCCAGCUCGUGCGAGGUGAUCGAGGAUCGUGGUAUGGACAGCGUUCCAUAGAUAGUGGACAUCCAUUGAGUAUAGUUGUACCUUAUUUAUUUCAUUUGUUUAUAGUUGAUGAAAGCAAAUAUAAAUUAUUCAUUUGAGAGAUGGCAAUGUAUAUGUUGGAUGAAUGAAUGUAAUAAUUAUGUAAGCUUUGUAUUUGAUUUAAAGUAAUCAAGAUACAAUGUGCCAAUACUUUAGUUA
Ananas comosus (pineapple) is the source of this 1376-nucleotide long non-coding RNA. RefSeq lists it as uncharacterized. Lineage: Eukaryota; Viridiplantae; Streptophyta; Magnoliopsida; Poales; Bromeliaceae. The record is from RefSeq and is a predicted model, not a curated record. The transcript has 7 exons.